Molecule: transfer RNA, 76 nt
Filed under: Proteus mirabilis
Lineage: Bacteria; Pseudomonadati; Pseudomonadota; Gammaproteobacteria; Enterobacterales; Morganellaceae
Also listed under: 2 other names
Description: tRNA-Lys
Rfam family: tRNA
About the family: Transfer RNA (tRNA) molecules are approximately 80 nucleotides in length. Their secondary structure includes four short double-helical elements and three loops (D, anti-codon, and T loops).
Source: RNAcentral
GGGUUGUUAGCUCAGUUGGUAGAGCAGUUGACUCUUAAUCAAUUGGUCGGGGGUUCGACCCCCCCACAACCCACCA